This is a long non-coding RNA of Octopus sinensis (East Asian common octopus), 617 nucleotides long. RefSeq lists it as uncharacterized. Lineage: Eukaryota; Metazoa; Mollusca; Cephalopoda; Octopoda; Octopodidae. The transcript is spliced from 4 exons. The record is from RefSeq and is a predicted model, not a curated record.
GGAAGCCACUGAGCUUUUCGACAGAUUAAAAGAGAUGAGGUUAUAAAAAUGACGGCAAAUUUAUACCUAAGCAUUUCAACUUUUCAAAAUAACAUUCACAUUUACUGAGCAGAAGAAUCCAAAUUGAGAAUGAUUGCGAAGAUUGCCAAUCUUUUAAUAUUGUUAUUUCUGCUAAUGGGAGCCUCAUCCACUGAUGCACAGGUGAUAUGUCGACAAAUGGAUGAUUACAUCCGAGACCCAUCAGAUUGCGGUGCUUUCUACCGAUGUUUCAAUGGCAGCCCAGUCAGGUUUGUUUGCCCCCGAAAUAUGCUUUUCAGUAGAAGCCGGAAACUUUGUGAUUAUGCCCGUAAUGUCCAAGACUGCAAUAAUUAACAUCAAAAAGGAAAUUGCUGAAAACUUUUACUGACAAAUGAAAUUAAAGAGAACUGAAUAUAGGAAAGAAAAUACUUUAAACUAUCCUCUAAUGAAAAUCAAUCCAAAAUAGGGCUUGUUUUCUUCUAACUCCAGAGAGUCAAAAACACUUUGAAAAUAUGCAAAUAUAAUACUUAAACAAAUAAAAUACUUAAACUUGUCUACUGCUAUCUAACAGUGACAUGAAUAAAUGUUGUAAUUUUUAA